This 460-nucleotide ribosomal RNA is filed under the name uncultured bacterium. RNAcentral describes it as "partial 16S ribosomal RNA". It matches the Rfam family "Bacterial small subunit ribosomal RNA", at positions 338 to 795 of the family's 1533-position model. The record is from RNAcentral.
CCUACGGGCGGCUGCAGUGAGGAAUAUUGGUCAAUGGACGUAAGGCUGAACCAGCCAAGUAGCGUGAGGGAAGACUGCCCUAUGGGUUGUAAACCUCUUUUAUGCGGGGAUAAAGGUGUCCACGUGUGGAUGUUCGCAGGUACCGCAUGAAUAAGGACCGGCUAAUCCCGUUCCAGCAGACGCGGUAAUACGGAAGGUCCGGGCGUUACCCGGAUUUAUUGGGUUUAAAGGGAGGGUAGGCCGGUCUUUAAGCGUGCCGUGAAAUUUGGUGGCUCAACCAUGGCAGUGCGGUGGAAACUGGCGGCCUUGAGUGCGCGGGAGGGAGGCGGAAUUCGUGGUGUAGCGGUGAAAUGCUUAGAGAUCACGAAGAACCCCGAUUGCGAAGGCAGCCUGCCGCAGCGUUACUGACGCUGAAGCUCGAAAGCGCGGGUAUCGAACAGGAUUAGAUACCCGGGUAGUC